This 345-nucleotide non-coding RNA is filed under the name Lophocladia kuetzingii. Lineage: Eukaryota; Rhodophyta; Florideophyceae; Ceramiales; Rhodomelaceae. The record is from RNAcentral.
GGGACUGAUUAGGUUUCUACGUAAUAAUUAUAUGUAUUAAUUUUAGUUAUUUCAUUAGAUAUCAUAUGAAGAUCAUUUCAUUCAAAUUAAUAGCAAAAAAUAAUAUUAUCAAUUUAUCUAAAAAUUUAGUUAUUGCAUAAAUUUUUAGUCUAUUAAAUAAUAUUUUAUUCAUUAUUUGAUAUAUACAUAUAAUGCUCUUAAAAAAUAUAUUGAUUGCUAUAUUACAUUAAUAAUUAAUAUUUUUUUUAAGUAAAGUUUAUUUUUUUAUUUUAGUCUGAUUGAUUAACUAUAAUAAAUUAUUACUUCUUUUUAUUACGGACGUGGGUUCGAUUCCCACCAGUUCCA